Molecule: ribosomal RNA, 500 nt
Filed under: uncultured bacterium
Lineage: Bacteria
Description: partial 16S ribosomal RNA
Rfam family: Bacterial small subunit ribosomal RNA
Source: RNAcentral
AUUGAACGCUGGCGGAACGCUUUACACAUGCAAGUCGAACGGCAGCACGGGGGCAACCCUGGUGGCGAGUGGCGAACGGGUGAGUAAUACAUCGGAACGUGCCCAGUCGUGGGGGAUAACGUAGCGAAAGUUACGCUAAUACCGCAUACGAUCUACGGAUGAAAGCGGGGGACCGUAAGGCCUCGCGCGAUUGGAGCGGCCGAUGUCAGAUUAGGUAGUUGGUGAGGUAAAGGCUCACCAAGCCGACGAUCUGUAGCUGGUCUGAGAGGACGACCAGCCACACUGGGACUGGUAAACGGCCCAGCCUCCUACGGGAGGCAGCAGUGGGGAAUUUUGGACAAUGGGCGCAAGCCUGAUCCAGCCAUUCCGCGUGCAGGACGAAGGCCUUCGGGUUGUAAACUGCUUUUGUACGGAACGAAAAGGCUCUGGUUAAUACCCGGGGCUCAUGACGGUACCGUAAGAAUAAGCACCGGCUAACUACGUGCCAGCCGCCGCCGUAA